GCAGGGUUCCCAUGGUGAUGGUCCGUGAGCUCGCUUCUGGAAGUGAAUAAUGACAUGGAAUGGAGGGGUCCGACUUUCUGCCUCAAAGCGUAUGAAGUACAGGGCCUAGGGAGCCUUUGAAAGGGCAUAGCAGCUACCACAAGACCAGGGAUGAGAUUCCAUGAAGAUUGAUGUAUAGUGGAGCUCCUGGGGAGGGGGAACAUCUCAGAGGAACAGCCUGUGGGAGCCAGCCCUGCAGUCUGUGGACUUGGCAGCCAAGACAGUGCGUUCUUCAAGCAAGGGAGCAAUUCCAUCCACUGAAAAUCCAGCAGUUAAGAGUCAGCUUUUCACUCACCACAUGUCAGUUCAAAGGGAAAAAUUUUAAAACAGCCUCACCAGGAACUGGGUCUCAGGUCCAGCCUCCACUCCAAAGAAUGAAGAAUUGUCUCCAGUCUCCACUUCCAAAGAAUGAAGAAUUGUCUCUCAUAGAAAGUGAUAGCUCCUUUUAAAGAUGCUUCUUUUGCAUCACUUCCUGUGUCUUCCCCUAACUUUACAUCUACCAAUCACAGUUGAAGCUUUGCUUUAAGACUGCCCAGGGACAGUUAGUUUAAAUCUGAUUCCUCACCCACUAUUGCACAUGUGGGUCACAGACCUCCCACUUAAUGAUUAAGUGAGAUGUUUACACUUUUGAUGAUUAGAUCUAAAAAUGGGCAGAUCUCCAUACUCAACUUUUAAGUAGGGUGUUUACACUUUUGGUGAUUAAAAUCUAAAAAUAGGCAGGGGUUACAAUUUUAAUCUUCACAAUCAGGGGAGAGUUAAUUUUAAUCUUCACA
This 812-nucleotide long non-coding RNA is filed under the name Monodelphis domestica (gray short-tailed opossum). Its description in RNAcentral is "lncRNA (ENSMODG00000049531.1)". Lineage: Eukaryota; Metazoa; Chordata; Mammalia; Didelphimorphia; Didelphidae. The record is from RNAcentral.